CCUAUACAUACAUACAUGCAUACAUAUAUAUACAUAAUUAUAUAUAAUAUAUGUUUGUAUAUAUAUAGACAAACAUCUAUAUAUACAUAUAUAUAUCGAUCUAUAGAUAUACCUAUAUAUUUAUCCAAACACUUAGGACUCAAGCUCGAUUGGCGCGAAAUUGAAUGGGGGACAGAGAGAGAGAGAGAGAGAGAGAGAGAGAGAGAGAGAGAGAGAGAGAGAGGGAGAGAGAGAGGGAGAGAGAGAGAGAGAGAGAGAGAGAGAGAGAGAGAGAGAAUUUUACGGUGGCGCGUAGAAGUGGCGACGCGCGCGUCUCGACGCCUUUCGAGGCCAUUUCGAUGAGACGACGACGCCGUCCUCGACGGCGUCAGCGUCGUCCUCGUCGGUUCUUCUCGGCACAGCACGUCGACCGGCGACGGCUACGUCUCCUUCUCCGCUACGGUGCGUGUGUACAGAUAUGUAUGUACGUGCAUACUAACCUCGAUGAAGGACGAACACUGCUUCUCCUUCUCAUUGGAGACAAGAGAAGCACUAGCAGCAGAGCAGCGCAACAGUAUCAGUAGAGAAGGUCGAUCCUAGUCAGCCGUGAUGUGAGAUCCCGAGAAGACGUUUGGAAGGAAGGAGGACGGAUUUAUCGUUAAAGAAGAGGAAAUGAAAUGGAAAUUUCUCUACUGUAUUUCAUCUGACAUCGAGAUGAUGAGACGUUAAUUUGUUCGUUGAGCAUUUAUCGAUCGAACAUCUUCAAGUAUCUCGCCUCGUUGGAUCUCCUCCUUCGUUAACGAAGCAUUCUCUUAUCGUAAUGAUAAAUACGGGAUACCUAGUUUAAUGGAGAGAUGUAGCUUGCGUGUAUACAUACAGCCAACAUAUGAAAAAGAAAAAAAAAAUUUGCAUACUUUUGCGAUAACGAAAAUUGUGUUUGUCGACUAAUGCUAAAAAAUAACAUAUGUUCGUUUCUAAACUUGAUCAGUUUAAAAAUUUACUUAUUUAUGUAUUUCCUUUUUUUUUUUUGUUUUCUCCCUUAAAAUUACAUUACACAGAAAAAUCGAAAUGAAAGGUUGGAUCUUUUAUCAUUUUAAUUAUUUAAAGUGUAAACAGAUAUUGGUAUUACGUUUCGUACAAAUAUGAUACUCGUCGUGACGCAGAAUCAACGUAGAAUCGACGCGUAAAUGAUGAAACGGGGAAAUUGCGUAGUUCGUAUCUCGCAUAACCAUGUUCGAGCUAUAUCCCUUCUUUCGUGGAAAGGGUGUUCCACGAGUAAAUUAUUUCUUCAUGCAUCCAUUCUAUGAACGUUAAACUACAUCGAGUGUAAUUGACAGAUCAUUUAUUGAAAAUGUAAUUAUAUCGUUAAGUUUUCAAAGAAGUUAUACAAUAACAACAAUAACAAAGAAAAAGGAUGAUAUUUUCUGCAUCCUUUUUUUUUAUGAUUACGUUGCUAUAACAAUGAAUUAUGUUGUCAUGUUUCAUUGAAUUUACUUUUUCAUCUAUUCCCCGAUGACGUUAUACUCAUCAUAAAUUUAUUCUCUGUCUUUCUCUAUCUCUCUUCCUCCUUCUCUCUGUCUCUCUAUUCAUUAUUUUGUUUGGAAGUAGCCCGUGAUGCGAUCGAUCGUAGAGUUCGUCCAAUAGAAAGAACAUAAACGAUAAGAAAAUGCCCCUAUCGAGAAUUCGCGAAAUUCAUCAAAAAGACGUAUCUAUUAAAUUCGUAAAUAUUUUUUAUGUUUCUUAUCGUUAGUUAUCCUACAAUCGAUUUCUCUUUCUCUCUCUCUCUCUCUUUCUUUCUUUUUUUCUGAAUAAUUCUUGAAUUUCUCGGCUCCUGAAUUUUUCAAGAAUGACUUGAAAGUUCAAAAUGUCAAAUGCAUGAAUCCAAGUACUUGGUUUUCCAACGAUAGAGUUUAAUUUAAUACUUCGAGGCUAGACAGAUAGAAUAGACUUCGACUCACUUACUAUCAGCUACUAUGAUCUCUUCACCUGUUAUGCUCUCUCUUUCUGUCUGUCUGUCUGUCUGUCUGUCUGUCUAUCUAUCUGUCUAUCUAUCUAUCUAUCUGUCUGUCUGUCCCCUUCUUUCUCUUUCUCAUUCUCUCUCUCUCUCUCCCCUUUCCCCAUCUCUCUCUCUCCACCAUUUCUCCUUCUCUUCCUCUUUCUCAUUCGCUUUCCCCUGCAAUUCCCAUUCACGUUCCUCUUUGAACGAUAUCGCUUCCAAGCCAACUUGCGUUUCGACUGCUGCUGUUGCUGCUGCUACUGCUGCUGCUGCUGUUGCUGUUGCUGUUGCUGCUGCUGUUGCUGCUCCUGCUGCUGCUAUUGCUAUUGUUGCUGUUUCUGUUGCUGCUGCUGCUUUGUCAAUUAGCCCAUCAAUUUCGCACAGCAUUAAUCGUUAUCUCAUCGAUCCUCUCUCUCUCAAAUGCUCGUCUCGUAGCUUAUUUAUUCGACGAAUAAGAGAUAUAUGCCGAUAACAGAAUAUCCGUGUGGUUUGUGUAUCGGACGCAUCGAGGAUUAUUUCACGUUAACAGUAUUCUUUUUUAAUAUUAUAAUAGAUUUUCUUGUUUGUCUAAAAAAGAAAAAAGAAAAAAAAACUUGAUCGUCUUAAUUAAGAUCUUUUUUUCUUUUUUUGUUUUUUAAAUCUUUUCUCUCUUUUUUUUCUCCGGUAUAAUUUCAAAUAGUUUCUUUAAAUGUUAGUUAUACCAAAUUGAAUAUUGGGAGGAAAGAAGGUGACUGGUGACUUAAUAAGUAAAUAUGUAUAGUCUUAUAAUAUAAUUAAUUAUAAUUGAGUGCGUGUGUAUAUAUGUGUGCACGCGUUAGUAUAAUUAUCGCUUUAAGAUAAUUUCUCCCUUCUACCUUCUUUCUUUUUUUUCGUUUCCAGAAUUUCAGAUAGCCCCUUAAAAUGCUAGUUAAUCCAUCUAAUCGAUAGAUACAUAGAAAGUGAAGUAUAGCAUAUAUAUAUACGUAUAUAUGUAUGUAUGUAUAUAUGUAUGUAUAUUUGGUAUAGUUUCAAAUUCGAUCGAUGAAGCUUUUUCGUAAACUAGUUUCCUUCGAAACUCGAUCACAGCCAUGUCAGUGGUUAUGGCCAUGAUGGUAGGUUCCCACUCAAAGACUUCAUCCGAAGCUGUUCAGCGGUUAAUCCUAUUUGAUGUAUAGUCGGAUUAUUAAGAGCCCGUGUCUAUCUUUCUCCGUGACUUCGUAAGAUAUUUUAACGAUAGAUCAAUAAUGUGCCUGUGACAAAGAGGAAGGAAAAAUUAAACACAAUUUUUAUACCUCACUGAUGUACCUAACAAUAUCUUAUAAUUUUAUUCAUAUUAUUUAAUUCGUUUUAUAUAUAUAUAUAUAUAUAUAUAUAUAUAUAUAUAUCGUUUUAAAACGAUUAUAAAUAGGAUUUUGAUACGAGAUAUAAACGAGUUACUAUUAAAUGAUUAUUAUCAUAGCAAGCGCAGUCUCUUGAUCGAACAAGUGCAAGCAUUAACACUUUGAUAUCGCGUAACUAGUAUUUACGUAACACCUUUGGAAUCACUUUAACGAGCACCUUUGUACAUAUGAUAUGAUUUCUUGAAAGCAUCUUGUUCAUUUUGAAUAGUUCUGUUUUCUCGUUGACAGAUCAUUAAAACACAAAAAUUAUAAGUCGAAAAUUAUUGUCGAUUUUAGUCAUGAUUUAAAAAGAAAAAAAAAAGUAAAUUAUUAAAAAGAAUAAAGAAAAAAGAAAAAGCUAAUAUUUUCAUGCACUUAAUGAGAUCGUUACGAUAUCUUUUAUAGCUUCAUUUAUUAUAAGAAUCUCACGUAAGAGAUGUUAUUAUAAUUUUCUUUUUCAGUUCUUCUUCUUUUUUCGUUUUUUUUUUCAUAUUGUUGAUUUUUUCUUUUUUUCGUUUUCUUUCUUUCUUUCUUUUUUUUUUUGCGAUACAUCGCAUGCCUCGUAUAUUUUCGAAACGAGAACGCUCGACAGUUAAAACGAGUCGUUGGGAGAUUCGAAGUUCGUACUCGUGUCUCUCUCUCCUUUCUGAAAUCAUCUCCUGGAGCGGGCGACCUUGAAACCAGCUGACAAACCGGAGAGAAAGAGAGAGAGAGAGAGAGAGAGAGAGAGAGAAGAGGAGAGGAGAGACGACGGCUGUGCGAAAGAAGGAUUGCGCAACGCUUCGAAAUACCAUAGCUUUCGAUCUCUCCCUCUCUCUCCCUCUCCCCUCUUUCUAUCUAUCUAUCUAUCUAUCUCAUUCUCUCUCUGUCUCUCUCUCUUUCUUUCUUUCUUUUUUCUGCCUACAGUGGUCCUCCUCAUGCCAGAUUCUUUUUAUUUCUCUUCGGGACGAGUUGUAUAAAUGGAAAAAAACAACCUUUCUCUACCCGUCCAGCACGAUCGAUGUAUUCGUCUUCUUUUUCUUCUUCUACUUCUUCUUCUUCUUCUUCUUCUUCUUCUUCUUCUUCUUCUUCUUCUUCUUCUUCUUCUUCUUCGUCGUCGUCGUCGUCGUCGUCGUCA
Long non-coding RNA from Vespa crabro (European hornet), 4450 nucleotides. RefSeq lists it as uncharacterized. Lineage: Eukaryota; Metazoa; Arthropoda; Insecta; Hymenoptera; Vespidae. The record is from RefSeq and is a predicted model, not a curated record. The transcript is spliced from 3 exons.